Non-coding RNA from Stereum hirsutum FP-91666 SS1, 99 nucleotides. The record is from the annotation of a RefSeq genome assembly. Lineage: Eukaryota; Fungi; Basidiomycota; Agaricomycetes; Russulales; Stereaceae.
GGGCAUAUGGUGUAGUUGGUUUAUCACGCUCGCUUAGCAUGAAUCGGCAAAUAAUGAGUUAUCUGCGAGAGGUGUCCGGUUCAAUUCCGAACAUGUCCA